GAGGGUGUAGCUCAGUGGUAGAGCGCGUGCUUAGCAUGCACGAGGUCCUGGGUUCAAUCCCCGGUCUCUCC
Molecule: transfer RNA, 71 nt
Filed under: Camelus ferus (Wild Bactrian camel)
Lineage: Eukaryota; Metazoa; Chordata; Mammalia; Artiodactyla; Camelidae
Rfam family: tRNA
About the family: Transfer RNA (tRNA) molecules are approximately 80 nucleotides in length. Their secondary structure includes four short double-helical elements and three loops (D, anti-codon, and T loops). Further hydrogen bonds mediate the characteristic L-shaped molecular structure. tRNAs have two regions of fundamental functional importance: the anti-codon, which is responsible for specific mRNA codon recognition, and the 3' end, to which the tRNAs corresponding amino acid is attached (by aminoacyl-tRNA synthetases). tRNAs cope with the degeneracy of the genetic code in two manners: having more than one tRNA (with a specific anti-codon) for a particular amino acid; and 'wobble' base-pairing, i.e. permitting non-standard base-pairing at the 3rd anti-codon position.
Source: Rfam by way of RNAcentral